RNAcentral lists this ribosomal RNA (286 nucleotides) under uncultured Gammaproteobacteria bacterium. RNAcentral's name for it is "partial 16S ribosomal RNA". It matches the Rfam family "Bacterial small subunit ribosomal RNA", at positions 376 to 670 of the family's 1533-position model. The record is from RNAcentral. Lineage: Bacteria; Pseudomonadati; Pseudomonadota; Gammaproteobacteria.
CGCAAGCCUGAUCCACAAUGCCGCGUGCAGAUGAAGCCUUCGGUUGUAAACUGCUUUUGUACGGAACGAAAAGCCCUGGGUUAAUACCCUGGGGUCAUGACGGUACCGUAAAAUAACACCGGCUAACUACGUGCCACACCGCGGUAAUACGUAGGUGCGAGCGUUAAUCGAAUUACUGGGCGUAAAGCGUGCGCAUGGGUUUUGUAAACAGAGGUGAAAUCCCCGGGCUCAACCUGGGAACUGCCUUUGUGACUGCAAGGUAAGUACGCUUUUUGGAUGGAAUUCC